RNAcentral lists this ribosomal RNA (463 nucleotides) under Streptococcus gordonii. RNAcentral's name for it is "bacterial SSU rRNA". It matches the Rfam family "Bacterial small subunit ribosomal RNA", at positions 28 to 467 of the family's 1533-position model. Lineage: Bacteria; Bacillati; Bacillota; Bacilli; Lactobacillales; Streptococcaceae. The record is from RNAcentral.
GACGAACGCUGGCGGCGUGCCUAAUACAUGCAAGUAGAACGCACAGUAUAUACCGUAGCUUGCUACACCAUAGACUGUGAGUUGCGAACGGGUGAGUAACGCGUAGGUAACCUGCCUGGUAGCGGGGGAUAACUAUUGGAAACGAUAGCUAAUACCGCAUAAUAUUAAUUAUUGCAUGAUAAUUGAUUGAAAGAUGCAACUGCAUCACUACCAGAUGGACCUGCGUUGUAUUAGCUAGUAGGUGAGGUAACGGCUCACCUAGGCGACGAUACAUAGCCGACCUGAGAGGGUGAUCGGCCACACUGGGACUGAGACACGGCCCAGACUCCUACGGGAGGCAGCAGUAGGGAAUCUUCGGCAAUGGACGAAAGUCUGACCGAGCAACGCCGCGUGAGUGAAGAAGGUUUUCGGAUCGUAAAGCUCUGUUGUAAGAGAAGAACGGGUGUGAGAGUGGAAAGUUCAC